GUGCCAGCCGCCGCGGUAAUACGUAGGGUGCGAGCGUUAAUCGGAAUUACUGGGCGUAAAGCGUGCGCAGGCGGUUUCGUAAGACAGAUGUGAAAUCCCCGGGCUUAACCUGGGAACUGCGUUUGUGACUGCGAGACUUGAGUGCGGCAGAGGGGGGUGGAAUUCCACGUGUAGCAGUGAAAUGCGUAGAGAUGUGGAGGAACACCGAUGGCGAAGGCAGCCCCCUGGGUCGACACUGACGCUCAUGCACGAAAGCGUGGGGAGCAAACAGGAUUAGAUACCCUGGUAGUCCACGCCCUAAACGAUGCGAACUAGGUGUUGGGGAAGGAGACUUCUUUAGUACCGUAGCUAACGCGUGAAGUUCGCCGCCUGGGGAGUACGGUCGCAAGAUUAAAACUCAAAGGAAUUGACGG
Molecule: ribosomal RNA, 413 nt
Filed under: uncultured bacterium
Lineage: Bacteria
Description: bacterial SSU rRNA
Rfam family: Bacterial small subunit ribosomal RNA
Source: RNAcentral